RNAcentral lists this ribosomal RNA (200 nucleotides) under uncultured Glomus. Its description in RNAcentral is "partial small subunit ribosomal RNA". It matches the Rfam family "Eukaryotic small subunit ribosomal RNA", at positions 591 to 797 of the family's 1831-position model. The record is from RNAcentral. Lineage: Eukaryota; Fungi; Glomeromycota; Glomeromycetes; Glomerales; Glomeraceae.
CCAAUAGCGUAUAUUAAAGUUGUUGCAGUUAAAAAGCUCGUAGUUGAAUUUCGGGAUCAGUUGAUCGGUCGUGCCUCGGUACGUACUGGUCAAAUUGAUUCCUACCUUCUGACGAACCACGAUGUCAUUAAUUUGGUGUCGUGGGAAAUCAGGACUGUUACUUUGAAAAAAUUAGAGUGUUUAAAGCAGGCUCGCGCUUG